Molecule: long non-coding RNA, 485 nt
Organism: Rhinichthys klamathensis goyatoka
Lineage: Eukaryota; Metazoa; Chordata; Actinopteri; Cypriniformes; Leuciscidae
Exons: 3
Source: RefSeq, a predicted model, not a curated record
AGGAGCGCCACGUUUGGUUGUUUGCAGAUGAGAUGUUAUACUGCAAAUAAUCAGUCAAGAUCAGUUCACAUUUGUUAUUGGAGAUACAGGGCAAGCGGUGUGGAAUCACAGACCUGUAUUGAUGAGCCCAGUGUCAGUGAAGAUGGCGUGGUCAGUGCAAUCCUGGUGUUUGUGGGAAAUAGAGGAACCUUGCCCAGCUUUCUACUACGGUGUGACCCUGAUGAGGUAAUUCAUCACAUCAACAGUUAGCAGUCAAAAGUUUACGUACACCUUGCAGAAUAAACUGCUUCAUCAGGGUAGUACUAAAUAAAAAGAGAACAUAUACAUUUUUGUGUUCCCUCUUAUUGCUAAAAUUACUAACAUUGUGCAGAUACUGCAAGGUGUAUAUAAACUUUAACGGGAAAAUAUCUAUCACUUUCAUUCAUUUGAGCCAAAUAUAAUAAUGGACUGGAUAUGUUUUAUAAACAAAUGUUUUCCUUCACUUU